UACGGAGGGAGCUAGCGUUGUUCGGAAUCACUGGGCGUAAAGGGCGCGUAGGCGGUCGGGUAAGUCGAGUGUGAAAUUCCGGGGCUCAACCCCGCGAACUGCAUUCGAUACUGCUCGACUAGAGAAAGGUAGGGGCGAGUGGAAUUCCCGGUGUAGCGGUGGAAUGCGUAGAUAUCGGGAAGAACACCGGUGGCGAAGGCGGCUCGCUGGGCCUUUUCUGACGCUGAAGCGCGAAAGCGUGGGUAGCGAACAGG
RNAcentral lists this ribosomal RNA (254 nucleotides) under uncultured bacterium. Its description in RNAcentral is "partial 16S ribosomal RNA". It matches the Rfam family "Bacterial small subunit ribosomal RNA", at positions 524 to 776 of the family's 1533-position model. The record is from RNAcentral.